This 587-nucleotide ribosomal RNA is filed under the name Sigmoidea sp. 'parvula'. RNAcentral describes it as "eukaryotic LSU rRNA". It matches the Rfam family "Eukaryotic large subunit ribosomal RNA", at positions 126 to 743 of the family's 3401-position model. The record is from RNAcentral. Lineage: Eukaryota; Fungi; Ascomycota; Sordariomycetes; Microascales; Halosphaeriaceae.
CCCUUGCGGGGUCCGAGUUGUAAUUUGCAGAGGAUGCUUUCGGCGAGGCGCCUUCCGAGUGCCCUGGAACGGGCCGCCGUAGAGGGUGAGAGCCCCGUACGGUUGGAUGCCGAGCCGGUGUAAAGCUCCUUCGACGAGUCGAGUAGUUUGGGAAUGCUGCUCUAAACGGGAGGUAAACCCCUUCUAAAGCUAAAUACCGGCCAGAGACCGAUAGCGCACAAGUAGAGUGAUCGAAAGAUGAAAAGCACUUUGAAAAGAGAGUCAAACAGCACGUGAAAUUGUUGAAAGGGAAGCGCUUGUGGCCAGACUUGCGCCUGCGGCUCAGCCGUCCCUCGUGGGCGGUGCACUCCGCCGGGCGCAGGCCAGCAUCAGCUCGCGGCAGGGAAGAAAGGCGGCGGGAACGUGGCUCUUCGGAGUGUUAUAGCCCGCCWUACGCCCUCUGCGGGCUGAGGUACGCWUCCGCAAGGAUGCUGGCGUAAUGGCCAUCAGCGACCCGUCUUGAAACACGGACCAAGGAGUCGUCCUAGCAUGCGAGUGUUCGGGUGCAAAACCCCUACGCGCAAUGAAAGUGAACGGAGGUGAGAGCU